RNAcentral lists this ribosomal RNA (562 nucleotides) under uncultured bacterium. Its description in RNAcentral is "bacterial SSU rRNA". It matches the Rfam family "Bacterial small subunit ribosomal RNA", at positions 119 to 674 of the family's 1533-position model. The record is from RNAcentral.
AGGAAUCUGCCUAUUAAUGGGGGACAACAUCUCGAAAGGGAUGCUAAUACCGCAUACGCCCUACGGGGGAAAGCAGGGGAUCACUUGUGACCUUGCGUUAAUAGAUGAGCCUAAGUCGGAUUAGCUAGUUGGUGGGGUAAAGGCCUACCAAGGCGACGAUCUGUAGCGGGUCUGAGAGGAUGAUCCGCCACACUGGGACUGAGACACGGCCCAGACUCCUACGGGAGGCAGCAGUGGGGAAUAUUGGACAAUGGGGGGAACCCUGAUCCAGCCAUGCCGCGUGUGUGAAGAAGGCCUUAUGGUUGUAAAGCACUUUAAGCGAGGAGGAGGCUCUUCUAGUUAAUACCUAGGAUGAGUGGACGUUACUCGCAGAAUAAGCACCGGCUAACUCUGUGCCAGCAGCCGCGGUAAUACAGAGGGUGCGAGCGUUAAUCGGAUUUACUGGGCGUAAAGCGUGCGUAGGCGGCUUUUUAAGUCGGAUGUGAAAUCCCCGAGCUUAACUUGGGAAUUGCAUUCGAUACUGGGAAGCUAGAGUAUGGGAGAGGAUGGUAGAAUUCCAGGU